RNAcentral lists this transfer RNA (71 nucleotides) under Colletotrichum tofieldiae. RNAcentral's name for it is "tRNA-Pro". It matches the Rfam family "tRNA". From Rfam's summary of the family: Transfer RNA (tRNA) molecules are approximately 80 nucleotides in length. Their secondary structure includes four short double-helical elements and three loops (D, anti-codon, and T loops). Further hydrogen bonds mediate the characteristic L-shaped molecular structure. tRNAs have two regions of fundamental functional importance: the anti-codon, which is responsible for specific mRNA codon recognition, and the 3' end, to which the tRNAs corresponding amino acid is attached (by aminoacyl-tRNA synthetases). tRNAs cope with the degeneracy of the genetic code in two manners: having more than one tRNA (with a specific anti-codon) for a particular amino acid; and 'wobble' base-pairing, i.e. permitting non-standard base-pairing at the 3rd anti-codon position. Lineage: Eukaryota; Fungi; Ascomycota; Sordariomycetes; Glomerellales; Glomerellaceae. The record is from RNAcentral.
GGCUCAAUGGUCUAGAGGUAUGAUUCUCGCUUUGGGUGCGAGAGGCCCGGGUUCGAUCCCCGGUUGAGCCC